ACGGGAUGUUUUCUUCCUGCAGGUGGGAAAGGAGGGAGCUACGCUCAGGCUGCCAACAGUGACAGCCCCCAGGGCUCUGAUGGGUCUCUCUCGGCUUCUAAAGCGUGAGGCAGCUGCCUUGUGGGGACCGAGAGAUGGAAGAUGUUCACGCUCCCACUUCCUGACUCAAGAACCUCUGAUUGGGGGGCUGGCCUGCUCUGCUCCCCACACUUUCCUGUCAGCAGAGGCAGGCUGGGCCCUCCCCAUCCCUGCCUUUACUCCCUGGUGCUCUGAGCGGCCACUUCCUGCUCUGUAUUGAAAUGAGGCUGUGGAUUGAC
Molecule: long non-coding RNA, 317 nt
Organism: Myotis davidii
Lineage: Eukaryota; Metazoa; Chordata; Mammalia; Chiroptera; Vespertilionidae
Exons: 3
Source: RefSeq, a predicted model, not a curated record